Molecule: ribosomal RNA, 468 nt
Filed under: uncultured bacterium
Lineage: Bacteria
Description: partial 16S ribosomal RNA
Rfam family: Bacterial small subunit ribosomal RNA
Source: RNAcentral
GACGAACGCUGGCGGCGUGCUUAACACAUGCCAGUCGAACGGAAAGGCCCUGCUUUUGUGGGGUGCUCGAGUGGCGAACGGGUGAGUAACACGUGAGUAACCUGCCCUUGACUUUGGGAUAACUUCAGGAAACUGGGGCUAAUACCGGAUAGGAGCUCCUGCUGCAUGGUGGGGGUUGGAAAGUUUCGGCGGUUGGGGAUGGACUCGCGGCUUAUCAGCUUGUUGGUGGGGUAGUGGCUUACCAAGGCUUUGACGGGUAGCCGGCCCGAGAGGGUGACCGGCCACAUUGGGACUGAGAUACGGCCCAGACUCCUACGGGAGGCAGCAGUGGGGAAUAUUGCACAAUGGGCGGAAGCCUGAUGCAGCAACGCCGCGUGCGGGAUGACGGCCUUCGGGUUGUAAACCGCUUUCGCCUGUGACGAAGCGUGAGUGACGGUAAUGGGUAAAGAAGCACCGGCUAACUACGUG